This 447-nucleotide ribosomal RNA is filed under the name uncultured marine bacterium. RNAcentral's name for it is "bacterial SSU rRNA". It matches the Rfam family "Bacterial small subunit ribosomal RNA", at positions 360 to 804 of the family's 1533-position model. The record is from RNAcentral.
AAUAUUGGACAAUGGGGGCAACCAUGAUCCAGCCAUCCGGCGUGCAGGAAGACGGCCCUAUGGGUUGUAAACUGCUUUUGUACAGGAAGAAACCCUUGGAUUUAUCUAAGGUUGACGGUACUGUAAGAAUAAGCGCCGGCUAACUCCGUGCCAGCAGCCGCGGUAAUACGGAGGGUGCAAGCGUUAUCCGGAAUCACUGGGUUUAAAGGGUGCGUAGGUGGUCUUAUAAGUCAGAUGUGAAAGCUCCCAGCUUAACUGGGAAAUUGCAUUUGAUACUGUGGGACUUGAAUUAUGUUGAGAUUAACGGAAUGAGUCAUGUAGCGGUGAAAAGCAUAGAUAGAUCUUAGAACACCAAUUGCGAAGGCACCUCGCUAGGCAUAUAUUGACGCUGAGGCACGAAAACAUGGGGAGAGAACACGAUUAGAUACCCCGGUAGUCCACGCCCUA